RNAcentral lists this ribosomal RNA (440 nucleotides) under uncultured bacterium. RNAcentral's name for it is "partial 16S ribosomal RNA". It matches the Rfam family "Bacterial small subunit ribosomal RNA", at positions 338 to 795 of the family's 1533-position model. The record is from RNAcentral.
CCUACGGGAGGCAGCAGUGGGGAAUAUUGCACAAUGGGGGAAACCCUGAUGCAGCGACGCCGCGUGAAGGAAGAAGUAUUUCGGUAUGUAAACUUCUAUCAGCAGGGAAGAAAAUGACGGGACCUGACUAAGAAGCACCGGCUAACUACGUUACAGCAGCCGCGGCAAGACGUAGGGGGCAAGCGUUAUCCGGAUUUACUGGGUUUAAAGGGAGCGUAGGCGGCGAUGCAAGUCAGAAGUGAAAGCCCGGGGCUCAACUCCGGGACUGCUUUUGAAACUGUGUUGCUAGAUUGCAGGAGAGGUAAGUGGAAUUCCUAGUGUAGCGGUGAAAUGCGUAGAUAUUAGGAGGAACACCAGUGGCGAAGGCGGCUUACUGGACUGUAAAUGACGCUGAGGCUCGAAAGCGUGGGGAGCAAACAGGAUUAGAUACCCGGGUAGUC